AGUAACACGUGGGCAACCUGCCCUGAAGCGGGGGAUAACAUCUGGAAACAGGUGCUAAUACCGCAUAACAACGAAAACCACAUGGUUUUCGUUUCAAAGAUGGUUUCGGCUAUCACUUCAGGAUGGGCCCGCGGUGCAUUAGCUAGUUGGUAAGGUAACGGCUUACCAAGGCGAUGAUGCAUAGCCGAGUUGAGAGACUGAUCGGCCACAAUGGAACUGAGACACGGUCCAUACUCCUACGGGAGGCAGCAGCU
This 254-nucleotide ribosomal RNA is filed under the name uncultured Lactobacillus sp. RNAcentral describes it as "partial 16S ribosomal RNA". It matches the Rfam family "Bacterial small subunit ribosomal RNA", at positions 109 to 355 of the family's 1533-position model. The record is from RNAcentral. Lineage: Bacteria; Bacillati; Bacillota; Bacilli; Lactobacillales; Lactobacillaceae.